AGUAGGGUGGCGCAGUUUGGUCAGCGUAGUGGGCCCAUGACCCAAAGGUCGGUGGUUCGAAUCCACUCCCUGCUA
This 75-nucleotide transfer RNA is filed under the name Planctomycetota bacterium. Its description in RNAcentral is "tRNA-Met". It matches the Rfam family "tRNA". From Rfam's summary of the family: Transfer RNA (tRNA) molecules are approximately 80 nucleotides in length. The record is from RNAcentral. Lineage: Bacteria; Pseudomonadati; Planctomycetota.